GAUCCUGGCUCAGGAUGAACGCUGGCGGCGUGCUUAACACAUGCAAGUCGAACGAAGCACUUCAUAAAGUUUACUUUAAGAAGUGACUUAGUGGCGGACGGGUGAGUAACGCGUGGGGUAGCCUGCCUUACACAGGGGGAUAACAGUUAGAAAUGGCUGCUAAUACCGCAUAAAACAGCAGAGUCGCAUGACUCAACUGUCAAAGAUUUAUCGGUGUAAGAUGGACCCGCGUCUGAUUAG
This 240-nucleotide ribosomal RNA is filed under the name uncultured bacterium. RNAcentral's name for it is "partial 16S ribosomal RNA". It matches the Rfam family "Bacterial small subunit ribosomal RNA", at positions 15 to 244 of the family's 1533-position model. The record is from RNAcentral.